Molecule: non-coding RNA, 177 nt
Filed under: Chloroflexota bacterium
Lineage: Bacteria; Bacillati; Chloroflexota
Also listed under: 1 other name
Description: Chloroflexi bacterium (Noosa River metagenome) 6S RNA
Rfam family: 6S / SsrS RNA
About the family: E. coli 6S RNA was the first non coding RNA to be sequenced, but its function was unknown until recently.
Source: RNAcentral
UGAACCCUGCUGUGUGCGUGAUGGGCUUCUCGCGUUGAGCCAACGCUUCUUUUAAAGGGAAUUAAAAUACGGCGAGGGGAUGUAGUAGCGCCCGCAAGGCAGUAACCUCCCGAUAAGAUUCCCACCUGCCAUUGCAGGUCCCAACAAAAGAUGCCCACACGGCAUGGCGGGGCUGUA